GAUUUAGAUUUGUUUCGGAGUUCAACAAUAUUUAUGGGAAAAUAAUUUUGACAUUCUUAACAUGGUGUAUGAUUACUGUGUGUGGCACGCUGCUAAUGAUUCAAAUUCAAUUGUCACAAGACCCCGUAGACUGGCCAGCGCUUCUGAUUACCAUCUGGCAAUUAUUUUGGACAUUUGCUUUUUUAUUCUUAUAUUGUUACCGCGGCGAAGAAGUAAGCUCUGCAUUUGAGGAACUGGCUGAUGAGAUUUCUCAAUGUGAAUGGGACUCGUUUCCAUACCAACUACAACGCAUUCUACCCACUGUUUUGAUUGCUGCCCAAGAUUCUGUCCAAAUUAAAACAUAUGGUUACGCUUGUACACAUGAUAGAUUUAAAAAGAUUGUCAACGGCGGUUAUUCAUACUACGCUAUUCUCCGUGAGUUCUACUGAGUGAAUCAAUCGAUGUUGGAUUUUUAUGGAACUUAACUAUAUUGGAUGACAAAUAUGUUUUUGAAAAAGAAAAAAAAAUAUUUUCAAUGCACUUUGCAUCUUACACAUAU
Molecule: long non-coding RNA, 538 nt
Organism: Contarinia nasturtii (swede midge)
Lineage: Eukaryota; Metazoa; Arthropoda; Insecta; Diptera; Cecidomyiidae
Exons: 3
Source: RefSeq, a predicted model, not a curated record